Molecule: long non-coding RNA, 3957 nt
Filed under: Homo sapiens (human)
Lineage: Eukaryota; Metazoa; Chordata; Mammalia; Primates; Hominidae
Description: HSALNT0341580
Source: RNAcentral
CUGAAGUGAUCUGCCCACCUCGGCUUCCCAAAGUGCUGGGACUGCAGGUGUGAGCCACUGCGCCUGGCCCCUUCAGGUGGGUUUUGAGGCUUCACGUUGCUGCUGCAAUAAAUUACCACACACUUAGUGGCUUAAAACAGCACAGAGGUAUUCCCUUACAUUUCUGAAGGCCAGAAUUCUAAAAUCAGUCCCACUGAGUCAAGGUGGGAGCAGGGUCAGUGCCUUCCCAGGCUCUGCGGGAGAAUCUGUUUCCUGGCCCUGGAGGCGGCCUGUACUCCUUAGCUUGUGCUGCCCUUCUGGAAUGACUCGAGUUUCCUGCUUUCAUCACUACACCUCCCACCGCUCUCCAUCACCUGCUGUGCUCUUACGAGGAUCCAGCUGAGACAUGUUUUAGGAAGUUUGCUAAAAGACCCCUGGAGACGUCCUCAUUGUGGCCUCCCUGCUGUUGUGUUUAAUUUGGUUGAUCUUCUCUGCCCUCCUGCUUUUCAGAAUUAAAAGGCUAAAAAGAGUUUUCAGAGAAAUGGAAUAAUUGUAUUGCUGAUCUACGUAAACAAGUUGAAGAAUUGUCUGAAAGAAAAUAUGGUGUGUCUGAACUGGAAAAGUCCUGUGAUAGUUUGUUCAUGAGCAUUUACACAAUGGAGUUACUGUUCAUCAUGGGGGUACUGUGGACAAGCCCAGGGCUGCUGACAUAAUCUUAUGAAUUCAACACAUGAAGAUUUACAACUUGAUAAACCAGCUUCAGGAGAUCAGAACUUCUUACAAUACAACUGAUGUUACUCAGCCUAGAACAAAUACAACAGGGAUUGUGCUGCAUUCUGACUUAGGUUCUGCCAUCGAACACAGAAUGCCCUGAUCCUUAGAGGCAGAGGCAGCUCUUCAGCCUAUGGGAAAACUGUGGAUUUAGUUACUCCACUCUGCCAUGUCCUUCCACCACUGCCUGCACAUUUGAGACCAAGGAUAGAGAUUGGGAAAAAUCCAUAGUUCUCCUGACUCAGAGUUUGGCUCCGGCACUCUCAUUUCAGCCAUAGCUGCAGACAAAGCACACGACUGCUGGGCACUGUGGCUCAAGAGAAGGGGGAGAUGCAGGAAGAAGAUGAGCCUUAAGUCUGAACACUGAGGAAUUCAUGUGCAUCAGUCAGACCUCCUGUGCAAGGAAGGAUGUGGUUACUACGGCAACCCUGCCUGGCAGGGUUUCUGCUCCAAGUGCUGGAGGGAAGAGUACCACAAAGCCAGGCAGAAGGAGAUUCAGGAGGACUGGGAGCUGGCGGAGCGACUCCAGUGGGAGGAAGAGGCCUUUGCCAGCAGUCAGAGCAGCCAAGGGGCCCAAUCCCUCACAUUCUCCAAGUUUGAAGGAAAGAAAACCAACGAGAAGACCCACGAGGUUACCACAGUGAAGAAAUCUUCAGUGCGUCUUCCAGGGUCGGAUCAAAGAAGGCAGAAAUUCAGGAAGCAAAAGCCAGUCCUUCCAUAAACCGGCGAACCAGCAUUGAAACGGAUAGAGUGUCUAAGGAGUUCAUAGAAUUUCUCAAGACCUUCCACAAGACAGGCCAAGAAAUCUAUAAACAGACCAAGCUGUUUUUGGAAGGGAUGCAUUACAAAAGGUGCCUCCAGAAAGGGUUGAGAAGAUAAUGGAUCAGAUUGAAAAGUACAUCAUGACUCAUCUCUGUAAAUAUGCGUUCUGUCCAGAACCCCAGUGAGCCUGGAAGACUGGGUGCUAUGGGAAAUGUCAUCAAUCCAAUGCUAGUGAAAGAUGUGACUGGGGAAUGCUGAAAAAUGCGCACCCCUGGGAGGAAUGAGGAAAGAUGACAUCCACUGACUUGUUAUUUUUUUGAGAAGGAGUCUUGCUCUGUUGCCCAGGCUGGAGUGUGGUGGCACGAUCUCGGCUCACUGAUGAUGAGAAGAAAGAUCUUGCCAUUCAAAAGAGGAUCAGAGUGGAAGCUUCUCUGUGGUGUCAGAAAGACGAGGAAUGUGGUGACCUCACCUAUCCAUCUCCCUCAAGGCAGCUUUUGUUUUUCUGCAGUGACCGUACUUGCAAUAAUUAAACAUAGUUGGUCAUUUAAAAUACAUCUCUGAUACUCUCGUCAAAGGUGGAGCCCAGUCCCUAUCGCCUUGAGUGAGGGCUGGGUUACGUGAUUCCCUUCUGACAGAUAGGAAAAAGCAAAAGUGAUGGCUUGCAACUUUGCAAACUACAUCAUAAAAGGUACUGUGGCUUCCUCCUUGCUCACUCUUUGAUUACUCACUUGGGAAAGCCAGCUGUCACACCAUGACACCUAAGCAGCCUGUAGAGAGGCUCAUGUAACAGGAACUGAGGCCUCCUGUCAGCAGUCACAUGAGGGAGCCAUCUUGGAAACAGGCUUUAGGUGACUGCAGUCUCAGUGGACAGCUUGAGUGCAAUGUCAUGAGACACCCUGAGCCCAAAUGACCCAGCUAUGCCACUCCUGAAUUCCUGACCCACAGAAAUGGAGAUCCUAACUUAAGUUCUUGGACUCACUGAGGCAGUAAAAGAACCAUAUCCUGUGUUUGAAUCAAAUCCCAAGUUCCUGUACGUAGAAGGUUUGCCAGACAGGAUUCCCUUUCGAAGCCCUCCUGGUUUGGAAUUCCAUGACUUGAAAGGAUCGUCCAUGGGAGUAAUAAAAUCAAAUUUGUUGGUAAAAAACCUGAACUGGUUAUUUCCUACUUGCCUCCUGGAGUUGCUAAUAAAAUAAACACUAAAGCUUCGCAGUUUCUAAAAAGACCAUGAAGCCCUGAGAGUAAUGAAAAGGUUCCUGAAAUUGAGGUCACUGUGGAAGGAGAAUCUAAUGCCUGAUGAUCUGUCACUAUCUCCCAUCACCCCCAGAUGGGACCAUCUAGUUGCAGGAAAAGAAGGUCAAGACUCCCAGUCAUUCUACAUUAUGCCUCAGCCAAGAUGUCUCACCCCACUCUCUCUGAUGCAACAAGAAGCCCCUGGAGAACGUUUCAGUCCCAUUUUGUACUUCUGUCAUGUGCUCAUCACAGUCUGGUGGAAUUUAAAUGACCUCUUAUCAAGAUGGAUAAACCCAAGUUUCCCAGUGCUGGAAUAUAGAAAAUGGAUGGACAAGUAAGUCCCACUCAGCACCCAUAGCCCAGACAUGGGGACCUCAACACACCUGGGCCCCAGACAUCACCUUUCAUUCCGAGGCAUAUGCCAUUCAAGCUAAGGGUGCUACACUUGACCACUGCGGCAGUAUAGAUGAGUCUGAAGAAUGGUAUGGGAUGGAUACUUACGAAUGCACUCGAGCAGGGGUCUCCAUCCACAGGGCCACAGAGCCAGAGCUGGAUCUACCAUGAAAGACUUCAGAGUCCAGGAAGAGAGACUGAUUGGGCAACAUGUUAUUCAGUUACAAAAAGACUUGGACUAUGACUCAAAAAUGAUCAAAUAAUAGUGCAUGCAUCCAAUGCAAUAAGAAGCACUUCUGGAGGGUGAGAGAAGCAUCCAGUUAAGGUGACAUUGAAGCUGGGUCCUGAAAGAUGAGGAAGAAUUGUAUGAGAGUGGGCAGAGAAGGGGGAGGUGGAGGGAUGGGGAAUGGGCUGAGAUGGAGUGAGCUGCUCAAGCAGGGAAACCAGCACUGUAAAGACCUGGUCAAUAAAGAUGGCACAUUUUAUUCAGGGAAUGGUGAAUUAAUUGUGGCAGGAAUGCUUUGGAGAGAGAGUAAUUUGCUUGUAUGGAAUUUUGCCCAAGAGACCUCAUUACAGUUUCUAAUCUUUUGAUGUUAUCGUCUAUCACUGUCCUUGUCAGAUAGUUUGGAAUAGGUAUAAUGAUCACAAUAACAUCAAGCAUAAUAUUUCAUUAAUUCUCACAAAAUCACAGGUAGGUGCCACAGUUAUCCCCAUUUUGUGAAUGAAGUGAUGAAGACUUAGGAAUGAUGAGUGAUUGCCCAAGCUCACCUGGAUAUUAAGAGGUCUUGCUCUGUUGUCCAGGCUGGAAUGUGGUAGUGCUAU